GUAUGGUGCAAGCGUUAUCCGGAUUUACUGGGUGUAAAGGGAGCGCAGGCGGUGCGGCAAGUCUGAUGUGAAAGUUUGCGGCUCAACCGUAAAAUUGCAGUUGAUACUGGGUGUCUUGAGUACAGUAGAGGCAGGCGGAAUUCGUGGUGUAGCGGUGAAAUGCUUAGAUAUCACGAAGAACUCCGAUUGCGAAGGCAGCUUGCUGGACUGUAACUGACGCUGAUGCUCGAAAGUGUGGGUAUCAAACAGGAUUAGAUACCCUGGUAGUCCACACAGUAAACGAUGAAUACUCGCUGUUUGCGAUAUACAGUAAGCGGCCAAGCGAAAGCGUUAAGUAUUCCACCUGGGGAGU
RNAcentral lists this ribosomal RNA (352 nucleotides) under uncultured bacterium. RNAcentral's name for it is "bacterial SSU rRNA". It matches the Rfam family "Bacterial small subunit ribosomal RNA", at positions 527 to 881 of the family's 1533-position model. The record is from RNAcentral.